CGGGCGCCGACGUCCACUUACCCGUCACGUGCUUCUGAAGAGGAUCCUAUGGAAGCCGCCAAUCAGAGAGCAGCACUACUGAAAUAGAACUCCCAGGAGGUAACAGCGUGUCACACAUGUGAUGUCAUAACCAUUGUCCACCAAAGAGCAGCACUGAGCAGAAAUAACACUGCUCCUGUUCAUUCUCCAUCAGUGAGGGGCCGGUGCUGGACACUGUGUAGGGACGCGGGAAUGCAAAGUCAUACACAUGACUGUGACUGAUGCACUAUCUCCAGGACAUGGAGUAGCAUUUCCGGACCUACAGCAAGACGUUGGAUGAAGGCAUAGCCCCAGAAAUAACACUGGUCCUGUUCAUCAGUGAGGGGCCGGUGCUGGACACUGUGUAGGGACACGGGAAUGCAAAGUCAUGCACAUGACUGUGACUGAUGCACUAUUUCCAGGACAUGGAGUAGCAUUUCGGGACCUACAGCAAGACGUUGGAUGAAGGCACAGGCCUAGGAAUCAUGCACAUACACAGAAACAUUUGCCCAAAUUAUAGAGGUAACCUCCUUUAGUAUGCCCAGAGGAAGGGCCAUACAGUAGCCAUGGAUUCCCUACAGGUUUCCUCCCCUCUGGAGGUUUUUCCUGUCCUGAGUAUUAGUUACUGUACGCUCUUUGUGAGUGAUGGGAGGUUACAAAAAGUCCCCUACACAAACAUUUUAAUAAAU
Molecule: long non-coding RNA, 707 nt
Organism: Hyla sarda
Lineage: Eukaryota; Metazoa; Chordata; Amphibia; Anura; Hylidae
Exons: 4
Source: RefSeq, a predicted model, not a curated record